GACGAACGCUGGCGGCGUGCUUAACACAUGCAAGUCGAACGGUAAGGCCCUUCGGGGUACACGAGUGGCGAACGGGUGAGUAACACGUGGGUGAUCUGCCCUGCACUUCGGGAUAAGCCUGGGAAACUGGGUCUAAUACCGGAUAGGACCACUGCCUGCAUGGGUGGUGGUGGAAAGCUUUUGCGGUGUGGGAUGGGCCCGCGGCCUAUCAGCUUGUUGGUGGGGUGAUGGCCUACCAAGGCGACGACGGGUAGCCGGCCGGAGAGGGUGACCGGCCACACUGGGACUAGGAGACGGCCCAGAUUCCUACGGGGGGCAGCAGUGGGGAAUAUUGCACAAUGGGCGCAAGCCUGAUGCAGCGACGCCGCGUGAGGGAUGACGGCCUUCGGGUUGUAAACCUCUUUCAGCACCGACGAAGCGCAAGUGACGGUAGGUGCAGAAGAAGGACCGGCCAACUACGUGCCAGCCGCCGCGGUAA
This 478-nucleotide ribosomal RNA is filed under the name uncultured bacterium. Its description in RNAcentral is "partial 16S ribosomal RNA". It matches the Rfam family "Bacterial small subunit ribosomal RNA", at positions 28 to 523 of the family's 1533-position model. The record is from RNAcentral.